UCUCUAUUUUUUUUUUUUUCAUUUGAUUUCAACUAGGUUGGAGCACAUUAUCUUUUUCCAAUCCACUUGAAUGGAUUUCAGUUUUUUAAACCAUUUUCCCUUAGCCCCUUUGCUCAGGUGAGCCGUUAACAGAAUUUGCAAAGAUUGUUUCCCAUUGCCUGAGGGCCCGUUUAAACAUGCUAUCCAAGAUAACUACCAGUAAGGGAAAUUUUAAAUAAGAACUAAAUAACCGGCAAGUAAGUUGCAUCAUCAAGCAUGAUGAUGUGUAAUUGAAUUUCAUCAUUAUUGGUUUGGUUUCUUCUGUUAUUUAUUUGUGGUUUUUCUUAUCUAAUAGCAUUUGUUGUUAUGGCGCAGGUAAGGAGGCUCUUUAUCGUUUCGUCCACUCAGCGCCUGUUCUUCCUAAAUUUUCUUGUGCAUCCAUGCCUGCCAGCUGUAGAAAAUUAGUUUCUGCCCAUAGCAACUCUGCCUUCAAGAGAGGAUCAAUAUGCAGGUGGGAUUCAACUUUGUCAUAAACAGUCUUGAUGCCUUAACAUCCUCUGCAGAAGAUGCAAGGCCCACAGCAUGCUUAAAAUGGAUCCGCAAUAUGUACCCAUCCAUCUGUGAAGCUACAACCUUUGCCAGCUCCUACAUUGCGUCAUUUGGAGGACCCAUAUGUUGCUAGAAUCCAACACAAUCAUUCCCACAAGUUUUGGAGACUCAGUAUAUUCGGCAGAGGGUCUUACCGAUUACCAUCACAACCUGCUUUAUAUGGAGCCAUGGUAAACAUCAAUUGUGUCCAUCAAGCUAUGGAACCACAAACUCUAUCAGUUCGAACUGCCCCUUGCCAUCCCACAGAUGCUCAACAGGUGGGCUUGCUUGGGAAUGCAAACAAGGAAGCACCGUUGCUGUAACAGAAGCAAGAAAACUAGUUUGAGGGUCAAAUCAGUUUUGAUAUGACGGAUAGUGGAUGUGUAUUUUUGUUUGAUAAAAGUAGUUACAUGGGUUUCAUUUGGCUUGCAUUUUUCAAGUACUUCAUGUUUGGGGGAAGCAAAUUUUAUGUCUGAAUGCUAGUCAAUCAUUAUUUGCGAGCGCGCAUGUGUGGCAUCGGCGGGGAGAUGUUUCCUAAUAGUCAACACCUUGGCUCAACAAAUGAUCAUAAUCAGUUUAUCGUCAAAGAAGCAAGAAAUUGUUCUGCAUCAGGAAAAUGUUGUUCAGAAUUACAGUUACUUGCCUGCAACCGCCGUAGAAUAUAUAUAGUUGAAAGCACCAAAGCUUCAACGUCUGGACUGGCAGUGGGGAGUAUUCCUGGUCGUCCGUAUGCUGAUGUUGGGGUCACUUCAACCCAUCGUCGAACAAUUUGAGUUAAGAAGAGGCGUUAAAUUUACCGGAAUUGUAGAUAUGAUUUUCCAGUUACAUUUGAACAUCACCUUACGAGAAUCCAAGCAUUUGAUUGUUUUAUGAUCCAUUGUAAAUUUCCAUAUUCAUGAGAGUUGGUGCUUGCAUGUGGGAACUCUGGAGUAAUAUGCUAGUCUGUAACUAAUACUGAAUGGAAAUUGAUGGAUUACACGUCAUGUUACUAGGUAGUAAAAUCCAACUGUAACCCAAUAUUUGUAUUUUUUCGCUACCAUCAUUGAUGUAAUUCUCUUU
RNAcentral lists this unclassified non-coding RNA (1626 nucleotides) under Hevea brasiliensis (rubber tree). The record is from RNAcentral. Lineage: Eukaryota; Viridiplantae; Streptophyta; Magnoliopsida; Malpighiales; Euphorbiaceae.